RNAcentral lists this ribosomal RNA (457 nucleotides) under uncultured Bacteroidota bacterium. Its description in RNAcentral is "bacterial SSU rRNA". It matches the Rfam family "Bacterial small subunit ribosomal RNA", at positions 355 to 810 of the family's 1533-position model. The record is from RNAcentral. Lineage: Bacteria; Pseudomonadati; Bacteroidota.
UGAGGAAUAUUGGUCAAUGGGCGCAAGCCUGAACCAGCCAUGCCGCGUGCAGGAUGACGGUCCUAUGGAUUGUAAACUGCUUUUGUACAGGAAGAAACACUGGUUCGUGAACCAGCUUGACGGUACUGUAAGAAUAAGGAUCGGCUAACUCCGUGCCAGCAGCCGCGGUAAUACGGAGGAUCCAAGCGUUAUCCGGAAUCAUUGGGUUUAAAGGGUCCGUAGGCGGUCAGAUAAGUCAGUGGUGAAAGCCCAUCGCUCAACGGUGGAACGGCCAUUGAUACUGUCUGACUUGAAUUAUUAGGAAGUAACUAGAAUAUGUAGUGUAGCGGUGAAAUGCUUAGAGAUUACAUGGAAUACCAAUUGCGAAGGCAGGUUACUACUAAUGGAUUGACGCUGAUGGACGAAAGCGUGGGUAGCGAACAGGAUUAGAUACCUGGUAGUCCACGCCGUAAACGAU